UCAUACCAGCUGGGGAUGGACAAACCAAGGGUGGUAACCAGAAGAUACUUGCUACCAGCUGAAACUGAGGUCCUUCACAGGUGGCAGUUGCCAGGAGCAAGCUGGAUGCAAAGCUCUGAAUAACAAGGUGUAUAGAAGACAAAUAACUUCCCUGUUUUUGGUUGCAUCUUCUAAGGUAGGGCUCUUGUUCUUACUCUCCUGUUUUUAAUCUCUGUUAAGAGCCAGUGA
RNAcentral lists this long non-coding RNA (228 nucleotides) under Anas platyrhynchos platyrhynchos (common mallard). RNAcentral describes it as "lncRNA (ENSAPLG00000031042.1)". Lineage: Eukaryota; Metazoa; Chordata; Aves; Anseriformes; Anatidae. The record is from RNAcentral.